Long non-coding RNA from Manduca sexta (tobacco hornworm), 872 nucleotides. RefSeq lists it as uncharacterized. The record is from RefSeq and is a predicted model, not a curated record. The transcript is spliced from 2 exons. Lineage: Eukaryota; Metazoa; Arthropoda; Insecta; Lepidoptera; Sphingidae.
AUGAUUUUGUCACCGGAGGAUGUAUCUUUGAUGCUUCUGAGUAUGAAACGCAAUUUUGGGCCAUAUACUUUUUUAUAUUUGUCUGCCUACCGGCUUCUGGACAAACCUUGCUAAUUGCAAUAUGGGGGGCCGCCACAAAGACAACAAUAACUAUUAUCUUGGUCGCAAUCACAAGAUGUACCAGUAUGCCCUUGUCCACAUUUAUAGCACCUUGGUUUAGAUCUGCAUGUAUCUUUAGUGUGUCCAUACCGGCAACAAUUGUAGCAUUGAAUUGAUGGAUAAAUGUAUAGUUCUACUUUGAGGGAAUUAAAACACAUAAAUACUCUUGUGGGAAGGACCUGACCAUCAAAAACAUGUCCACCGGUACACCUCUUACGAGCCCCAUCCUGGUAACAUUAAAAGAUGGAAUAAAAGCUUCAUAACCUUUUUCCAAUAAGGCAUGAUGUUUUAAGAAAGAAUUUGCAGCUGAGUGACUUGUGAAUGCCAUUGAAAUUUUGUUGCGACCGAUACGCUUCAAACUGCCUUGUACUAUGUUUGGCACCUGGUUUUUAUACAAAAAUCUGCCAAAAGCAUAUUGGAUGCAAAUUAAGAUCCUGUGUUACCUCUCCCGUACUAGACCCAGCAACAUGAAUAAUAAAUGGUGAAGCAUCCAAUGCAGUAUAUUCUUUUCUAAUACUAUCAGAUAUAUUGGGAGGUAACUGGGAGGCCUGAGAUGGAAGAACUUGUGUAUGCGGUGCUAUAAGAGGUGAUGGAUUUUCAGUGAUUUUUUCGUCACUGUCUUCACAACGACAUCCACUUCUACCUGAAUCUACAGCCAUUGCAUUUUUGCGUUUUUUUUUUAUUACAUGUUUUGCACACCUUAUUUAAUCGUA